Molecule: long non-coding RNA, 705 nt
Organism: Prosopis cineraria
Lineage: Eukaryota; Viridiplantae; Streptophyta; Magnoliopsida; Fabales; Fabaceae
Exons: 5
Source: RefSeq, a predicted model, not a curated record
CUUCUCCUACAAGCCUAGUCGCUCAACCACACAAAACCAGACUCAUUUGUUUUCCUACCCAUUUGCUCUGUCUCGGCAUCCUCACUUCUCCUGUAAGCUCAAUCACUCAACUCACAUUUGAGGAAAGGUUCUCUAAUUCUUCCAACUCUAACCACUGCUUCUGCCAAGCCACAGAUCCUCUGAUUCCUCUGACCACCUCUUCCUUUACUGUAGGGAUCAAGGAUUGAUGUUGAAUUAUGGUGAAGAGAAGGAGAAAUGAUACGUAUUCUUUUAGAAGAAAGAGACAGAAUAAUCAACCUCAAACUAUAGGAGUUGCUGCCAUUGGCAUUGCUAGAGCAAGGAACCAAAGAGGUUGAGAUUAGUGCUGGAUAUCCACAAUCUUUGGAAGUAGUAGACUGAACGGAGUUAAGGAUGAAGAGAAAGAACGAGGGUUCAGAUGAUCUUUCCAUAAAGAGCUCAGAUCUUUUUGUACUUGAGGGUUUUGUUAUUCAACUAGAGUCCAGCCAAAAGAAGUGCAAUGUACUAGCAGGGGCAUCUCACCAGUAGAUUUCGAGCUGCCUUCUGUCAUUAUUUAAAUUGAAACUAAUGUAUGCUUACAACUGGCGAUAUAUAUAUAUAUAUAUAUAUAUAUAUCCAUUGAUAGGAUGUCUUUUUAAAGGAUGGCGAUAUGGAAGGACACCUUGAGCAUUGUGCAAUGAAAUCUGU